This 85-nucleotide transfer RNA is filed under the name Fidelibacterota bacterium. RNAcentral's name for it is "tRNA-Leu". It matches the Rfam family "tRNA". From Rfam's summary of the family: Transfer RNA (tRNA) molecules are approximately 80 nucleotides in length. Their secondary structure includes four short double-helical elements and three loops (D, anti-codon, and T loops). Further hydrogen bonds mediate the characteristic L-shaped molecular structure. tRNAs have two regions of fundamental functional importance: the anti-codon, which is responsible for specific mRNA codon recognition, and the 3' end, to which the tRNAs corresponding amino acid is attached (by aminoacyl-tRNA synthetases). tRNAs cope with the degeneracy of the genetic code in two manners: having more than one tRNA (with a specific anti-codon) for a particular amino acid; and 'wobble' base-pairing, i.e. permitting non-standard base-pairing at the 3rd anti-codon position. The record is from RNAcentral. Lineage: Bacteria; Pseudomonadati; Fidelibacterota.
GCCGAGAUGGCGAAAUUGGUAGACGCAAGGGACUUAAAAUCCCUCGGACUUUAUGUCUGUGCCGGUUCGACCCCGGCUCUCGGUA